RNAcentral lists this ribosomal RNA (253 nucleotides) under uncultured bacterium. Its description in RNAcentral is "partial 16S ribosomal RNA". It matches the Rfam family "Bacterial small subunit ribosomal RNA", at positions 524 to 776 of the family's 1533-position model. The record is from RNAcentral.
UACGGGGGGGGCAAGCGUUGUUCGGAAUUACUGGGCGUAAAGGGUUCGUAGGUGGCCUACUAAGUCAGACGUGAAAUCCCUCGGCUUAACCGGGGAACUGCGUCUGAUACUGGAUGGCUUGAGUUCGGGAGAGGGAUGCGGAAUUCCAGGUGUAGCGGUGAAAUGCGUAGAUAUCUGGAGGAACACCGGUGGCGAAGGCGGCAUCCUGGACCGACACUGACACUGAGGAGCGAAAGCCAGGGGAGCAAACGGG